GGUGUUUUUGUUAUGGUAACUUUUUUUUUUUUGGAAAGCAUAUAUCAAAUUCUUUUAGCCUGUUUCAUAAUCGUAAUUAUUCCGUUUCCACAUUGAAAAAGAGUUUUAAUGCAUUUAUUUCAUUGUUAUAGUGUGAGAAUAUACAUUUAUUUAUUACUUUGUAGGUUCUAGGAUUGAUUUUUCCCUAAAGCAUGGAUAUUAAAAAAAGCUUUUUGAAAACAAAUGCAUUUAUUAACAGCAUUAAAAAAACAUUUUACCAAAAAACUACAACAGUAAUUUCUGGACUAUAAAUCGCGUUUUUUUUUUCAUAGUUUUGGGAUUGACAACAGGACGAUGUAGAAAAAGACAAAAUUUCAACGUUUCAACAUUGUACUAUGAUAAUGUUUUCUUUUCUCUGGACACAUCAGGACCUACAAAGAGUAUACAGCAUUAAUGCAAAUUUUAUCAUUGGGGUCAUGAGCAGAUGUAUCAAAAGUAUUCACAUUGACUACUCAAGUAUAGAUAAUGAGAUUGAAACAUGAUUUAAAAUCAGUUGAAGUAGCUAGCUUUUUACUCAACUGUAAAAGUAUUGGUAACUAUUUGAAAUGUAAAAAUUAUGCAAGGAGAAAAAAUACAACGAACUGGAAGCCGUCAAACAUAGUUACACAAAUAAAUUAGGUGUCUGGUUACAAUUUUUAUUGUUUUGAUGCAGCCGUCAACUCAAAUCCACAUUUUCAAAACAGUUAACACAGAGGGCUAAACAUGCCACAGUGGUCAAAAUGACACAUUUUGUUUGCAAAAGGCUCUAACUGUGCCAAAAUAUUUAAAAUAUGAAACAAAAGCACAAAUGAGCAACUCCAAUAAAUAAUAAAUAAUCAUUACCCAAUGGGCAACAAAAUACUGCACUCGUGUGAAUCAGUGCACCAUUGCUUGUCAUCGCAGCCUAUACGUAUACAGCUUACAUUGCAGCUUAUACACAGCUUACAUGCAGUCAAAUGUGCCCUCUUGCAAAAAAUGCAUCAAGAAUCAGAUAGGCUUUUUUUUCUGACUGUGGCUGACAAAUGAAAUAUUCACACAGAGAAUACGUGGAAAAAAUACAUUAUUGUGUGAGAAAUUAGGAAAGUAAAAAAAAAGAAAAAAGUAUUUUACAAUAAAGAACAGAAAUCUAUAGUAGGCCUAUACUAUAAGAGUACAAGAGAUAGCCACAAAUGAUAUUCGUGUGUCUCUUCUGAGCCCUUCCGGCUAGACUUCCACCUCGCGCACACACUCCUCUUCCUCUGACUUCUCUACCUCUUACUCUCACUCUACCUCUCAUCUGUCUUAGACCUCCUCGAUCCAUGCUUGCAAAAAACAACACAGGCUUGAAGACUGAUAUCAAAUUGAAACAUUUUGUGAAGUGUCAGACAGGUGCUUUUAAUGAUUGCAUACUGAUCAGGGAGUUUCUACGAGCUCGGAGCAUAUGGUUUCUGUUUCGGAAGUGCGGCUAAAACAAUGGAGUUUGGACUUGAAUUACAUCUGUGUUAACUGUUUUGCAAAAGGGUGGGAAAAUUGUGUCAAUCCAAUGACAAUGGGUUACAUAUUUGCAUGAGCCAUCUUCACCUCAACUGAGAUGGUGAUGAUGAAGACUGAGAGGUUCCCAGUUUCUUCAAACAGGUCAAAGCAAUCAAUAAAAACUGUAACACUGCUUGACACGCCCACUCGCCCAAGCUGUCGGAAGCGAAGAUGAAAAAGCUCUUGUAUGCAAGAGUUUUUUUUUUUUUUUUUUACGACUUACAAGACAAGUUAGGAUAGUCACGCCGGAGUGCCUGGGAGAGCGGAGGCUUCGUGGCCGUUUGUCUGCCGUCGAUCAUCGGACGCAAAGUAUGGCUGCGGAUCAAGAGGUGGUUAGGUGGCACCCAUGCUGACAGCGGCUAUCUGGAUUCUCGUGGGUUAAUUCAGGAUGGGGGAACUGCAGCUCAACCUCCUCGUAGACACUGCCAGGACAAUUGAGGGCUCCUUCGGCAGACCUCUGCUCUGACAUGGACAUCCACUUUUUAUUUCAUUGAUGUUCAUGUUGUAUCAUUUGUGCCCUCUCUGCAUCCAUUCCAACCUGGUGAUCCUGAAAGGGGGAUCCUUCCAUCUGUGGUCCCUUCUCAAGGUUUCUUAUUUUCCCCCAGUAGGGGUUUUUAAGUUUUUCCUUGCCCUUUUGGGAGCUUAAGAUCAGGGGAUGCUUUGAGAAUAAUUGUCAAUUUCUGUCUAUGUGAAGCCCUUUGAGACUGCUUGUGAUUUAGGGCUAUACAAAUAAACUUGACUUGUACGCAUGUGUUCAGUGUUUCCGGUGAAGCAUUUACCUUGAAGUUCCAGACACAAGUGGCGUGUCGUUGCUCGACCAAUCUUCGGGCAACUUGAUGUAUUAAGCGUUGAGAAGAGGGUAGGAAAGCGUAGAAGAGAGGCAAAAUUAAGAUUGCUUCCU
Molecule: long non-coding RNA, 2431 nt
Organism: Syngnathus typhle (broad-nosed pipefish)
Lineage: Eukaryota; Metazoa; Chordata; Actinopteri; Syngnathiformes; Syngnathidae
Exons: 2
Source: RefSeq, a predicted model, not a curated record